GAGACUCUGUGCGCGUGCAUAUCAAUAAGCGGAGGAAAAGAAACUAACAAGGAUUCCCCUAGUAACGGCGAGUGAAGCGGGAAGAGCUCAAAUUUGAAAUCUUCAAGGGUUUCCCUUGACGAAUUGUAGUUUUAAAGAAGUGUUUUCUGUUAGAGAGGUGGUAAAAGUUCUUUGGAAUAGGACAUCAUAGAGGGUGAGAAUCCCGUAUUUGAUCACUUUCUACUAACGUUGUGAUACACUUUCAAAGAGUCGGAUUGUUUGGGAAUGCAGUCCAAAAUGGGUGGUAAAUUUCAUCUAAAGCUAAAUAUUGGCGAGAGACCGAUAGCGAACAAGUACCGUGAGGGAAAGAUGAAAAGAACUUUGAAAAGAGAGUUAAACAGUACGUGAAAUUGUCAAAAGGGAAGCGUUUGACACCAGUGUUGUUUUUCCGAAAAUCAAUUAAGAAUGGCCGGAUUUUAAGUUUCAUGACCUUAAAAGCUUGUUUCUUAUUUUUCUUGUCUUUCUUAAUGCACUUUUCGGUUAACAAGUCAACAUCAAUUUCUUUUGUUGUAAAAGGUUAAGAGGAAGGUGGCUUUCCUUUCAGGCUCAAGUGUUUAUAGCCUUUUAAUCUCUGCAAUCGGAGAGAUUGAGGUCUGCAGCGUAGAUCCUUCGGGGUUAGAUACGUUUGUGCUAAGUUAUAGCUUUUCAUAGACAACUUGUUGACUAUGUUUAGUCUUGUAGCUUACUCGCAUGACGCUAUUUUACCUACGCUUAGGAUGUUGAUCUGUAGUGCGUGCG
This 777-nucleotide ribosomal RNA is filed under the name uncultured Neocallimastigales. RNAcentral's name for it is "partial large subunit ribosomal RNA". It matches the Rfam family "Eukaryotic large subunit ribosomal RNA", at positions 23 to 646 of the family's 3401-position model. The record is from RNAcentral. Lineage: Eukaryota; Fungi; Neocallimastigomycota; Neocallimastigomycetes; Neocallimastigales.